UACAGAGGUCUCAAGCGUUGUUCGGAUUCAUUGGGCGUAAAGGGUGCGUAGGUGGCGGGGUAAGUCAGGUGUGAAAUUUCGGAGCUUAACUCCGAAACUGCAUUUGAUACUGCCUUGCUUGAGGACUGGAGAGGAGACUGGAAUUCACGGUGUAGCAGUGAAAUGCGUAGAUAUCAGGAGGAAUACCGAUGGCGAAGGCAGGUCUCUGGGCUGACACUGACGCUCAUGCACGAAAGCGUGGGGAGCAAACAGG
This 253-nucleotide ribosomal RNA is filed under the name uncultured bacterium. RNAcentral describes it as "partial 16S ribosomal RNA". It matches the Rfam family "Bacterial small subunit ribosomal RNA", at positions 524 to 776 of the family's 1533-position model. The record is from RNAcentral.